GGCUCGGUGGUGUAGUUGGUUAUCACGUCAGUCUAACACUGUUAGUUCACUGAAGGUCCCGAGUUCAAACCUCGGCUGAGUCA
This 83-nucleotide transfer RNA is filed under the name Massarina eburnea CBS 473.64. Its description in RNAcentral is "tRNA-Val". Lineage: Eukaryota; Fungi; Ascomycota; Dothideomycetes; Pleosporales; Massarinaceae. The record is from RNAcentral.